AUAAGUAAAUAAAUAAAUAACAAUCAAAAGUAAAAGCCUUUACUUGUGUUUGAGGAUAUUAAGUCCAACCCCACUUUUUAUGCUGGGAUAUAGUUUUGUAGUUUUAUACACAUUCAUGUGUAGUCUCUAUCACGUGACCCUCUCCUUCAUCUUCUUCUUUUUCUGUUAAAAGCAAAGCGUCCCAGACAUCCUUCCAUUGUUGUUACAUGACCACCCACACUCACCAUUCUCCUCCUGUUUCUCAGUCGAGCAAACCGUCAUACACCCCAACCACUCGUUGAUUUCCAUUGCUUGAUAUCUUCCCGCACUACCGAGAAACACCACCACCAAAGGUGGUGUUGCCGCUAUGUAACCAACGGGAACCAUAACGGUUCUCCCUAUCUUGCCACCGAUCGAAGCUAUCAGACACAACCCAAAACCACCUUCAUUUGUUACUUUCUCACUUCUCCGGCGAAGAGAGCCACCACUGUCGGCUGUGGCAGCUCCUCCACCUCCCGACGUCAUGACCCAUCACCAGAAAACACCCUUCCCAAACACCUUCGGACCAUAACUUUGCACCUCCCUGCCCUUUCUCUCGUCCAGUUCACCUGAAAAGAAAGGAAACGAAGGCAGCAAAGCUGCCAUUGCAGGUCCGUCACCACCCACCGUUGGCAAAACCCAUUUCACCUCCAACCACCGCUGUGACUACUGGAACGCCUCCAUACCGACAUCUACCACCUGAAACCGCCUUGCGUUCUUUCCCUCUCGUCAAAUCCAUCUGAACAGGAAAGCAAACGCAGCAAGGCAGCCAUUGCCGCCCUCCGUCGUCCUUGUUGUGGAGUCCCGGACGCCACCGCCAUCACCGAGCUGCUGCUGCCCAGUCACCCUAGCAAUCACCGGCCACUGUAAUAUAAAUAAACCCGAUGAUUCGUUUUGAGGGCACGGGACGUCACGAAACGGCUUUCACAAAAAGUUUCACCCUCGAGCCUCGUUCACGCUUCAAGGGAGAUCAGUAAACCAGCGUUUAACGGAAGAUUUGUUCAUGGAUUUUCGGGCAAUCUAGUCUUAUUUAGUUUUUGUUAUGUCGACCUACUUGUUAAGGUGAAUUUAUGAACCUAUUAAUAUAUGUAUGAAACUUAAAUUUGAACUUUAAAUUUGAAUGUAACUGCUAUGUUGUUAUUGUUGUAGCUUGUGAUGUAUAUUCAAUUUACUUGGGAUCCAUGAACUAAGUCGCACAGCCCGACGUAUUCCGCCGCCUCGGCCGGGGGUGUGACAGAUUGGUAUCAGAGCUAAAUUGGCUAUAGAGAACUCUUAUCCUCGAAAGAGGAAAUACAACUAUAGCUACCGGCUCCUAAUAAAAGUAUUAUUAAUAAAUAUACUACUUCUUUACUACUCAUGGGAGAGGCAGCUGGUUUGAAAGGCUGCUAGGGUUACUGCACUUCAAAACGGAUUAGUUGCCACAAUGGUCCUAGCCCCCGGUGUUUCCUAUCUGACUCUCAUAUGUGCUUAGUAGUCUUGGAGUACAAACCAAAAAUUUAAUAAUACUACAAACCUCACCAACAAUAAUAUAUAUAAGAGUUAUAUAUUUACUCUGACCCGCGAUGAGAACACUUAAUAAAAAUUCUGACAUGCCUUCAACUAAAGCGACCAACUCAAUCCUUUAGGUCAAAAGCCUCAACUAAGGUUAGUAUCGUGCAUAGGCCAUACCAUAAAUAAACCUGGAACGCGCGUCUAUGUUAUUUAUGGUCAGGCUGGUGAACAACCAACCUUGAGCGACGAGUUUGACAGACUACAAUGGUUGAGAGCUUUAGAGAUUGAAGGAUGUUCUCAAGACUCGAUACAUAUAUUUAAUACCUAACAUCCAUGUAUCAACUCCCAGACAACACAUAUAUCUAAAAAAAAAUCAUAAAAUACUUAAAGGUCUGGGAUAACAUCCAGAUUUUCCCGAUUUACCUAAAUUCGAGAAGAACAAAGGACCAAUAGUUCUACUACCUUUGUGGCAGAGAAACCUAUAGUUCCCAGUCGAUCAUUCAGUAUUCUCCAAACUUCUAUCUCCCCUACCUUCCAAAUAUGACAAGGAUCCAUCCGAAGACAAACCAUCUAUAGAAUCCACUAAAGGGGAGGUAUCUAAAUAAGAGAAGGGAACGACCGAAGGUAACCAACCAGCUGAAGAAAAUAUGAAAUGAGAAGGACUAACAGAUGAAGAGUCCACCAUUCAAAUGCCACCAGUGUACUGCAUCUACUAAUAAUUAUAGAUGGAACGCCCUACAUGGAUGCUCCUACAAAAAGGAUUCCACCUCAUUCUCAAAGUUGUACUUCCAUCUAAAGGAAACAAAUUUUGUCGCAAGAGUCAGGUGUGACUGCCUAUACAUCCCGUUUCAAUGAGCUCGCUAACCUCUGUCCAGGAAUAGUAAACACGGAAUACAAAAGGAUUGAAAGUUACAUCAGGGGACUAAGUCCCACGAUUCUAGGUCUACUUGAUGUGUCCAGGACCACUACCUUUGAUGGUGCUAAGCAAUUGGCGUAUCAUUUGACUGAACAUGAUCUUCGUCCGAGUACCACAACCCAACAAACGAGAUAGAACCAUGCAAAGAGUAAGAAGAGGAAAUACCCAGAGAAGUCCAAAGGAAACUUCAAACUCCUGAGGCCCAAAUCAGAACCUAUGACCAUCAACGCCACAAGCCCAAACACUCCCACAAUGGAACA
This is a long non-coding RNA of Lactuca sativa (garden lettuce), 2685 nucleotides long. RefSeq lists it as uncharacterized. Lineage: Eukaryota; Viridiplantae; Streptophyta; Magnoliopsida; Asterales; Asteraceae. The record is from RefSeq and is a predicted model, not a curated record.